This 250-nucleotide ribosomal RNA is filed under the name uncultured bacterium. RNAcentral's name for it is "partial 16S ribosomal RNA". It matches the Rfam family "Bacterial small subunit ribosomal RNA", at positions 15 to 248 of the family's 1533-position model. The record is from RNAcentral.
AAUCCUGGCUCAGGAUGAACGCUGGCGGCGUGCUUAACACAUGCAAGUCGAACGGGAAUUACUUUAUUGAAACUUCGGUCGAUUUAAUUUAAUUCUAGUGGCGGACGGGUGAGUAACGCGUGGGUAACCUGCCUUAUACAGGGGGAUAACAGUCAGAAAUGGCUGCUAAUACCGCAUAAGCGCACAGAGCUGCAUGGCUCAGUGUGAAAAACUCCGGUGGUAUAAGAUGGACCCGCGUUGGAUUAGCUUG